GCUAGAAUAGCUCAGUUGGUAGAGCAGAGGACUGAAAAUCCUCGUGUCGCCAGUUCAAGCCUGGUUUCUGGCA
RNAcentral lists this transfer RNA (73 nucleotides) under Stichococcus bacillaris. RNAcentral's name for it is "tRNA-Phe". It matches the Rfam family "tRNA". From Rfam's summary of the family: Transfer RNA (tRNA) molecules are approximately 80 nucleotides in length. The record is from RNAcentral. Lineage: Eukaryota; Viridiplantae; Chlorophyta; Trebouxiophyceae; Prasiolales; Stichococcaceae.